RNAcentral lists this ribosomal RNA (468 nucleotides) under uncultured bacterium. RNAcentral's name for it is "partial 16S ribosomal RNA". It matches the Rfam family "Bacterial small subunit ribosomal RNA", at positions 28 to 507 of the family's 1533-position model. The record is from RNAcentral.
GACGAACGCUGGCGGCGUGCUUAACACAUGCAAGUCGAACGGAAAGGCCCUGCUUUUGUGGGGUGCUCGAGUGGCGAACGGGUGAGUAACACGUGAGUAACCUGCCCUUGACUUUGGGAUAACUUCAGGAAACUGGGGCUAAUACCGGAUAGGAGCUCCUGCUGCAUGGUGGGGGUUGGAAAGUUUCGGCGGUUGGGGAUGGACUCGCGGCUUAUCAGCUUGUUGGUGGGGUAGUGGCUUACCAAGGCUUUGACGGGUAGCCGGCAUGAGAGGGUGACCGGCCACAUUGGGACUGAGAUACGGCCCAGAGUCGUACGGGAGGCAGCAGUGGGGAAUAUUGCACAAUGGGCGGAAGCGUGAUGCAGCAACGCCGCGUGCGGGAUGACGGCCUUCGGGUUGUAAACCGCUUUCGCCUGUGACGAAGCGUGAGUGACGGUAAUGGGUAAAGAAGCACCGGCUAACUACGUG